RNAcentral lists this microRNA (24 nucleotides) under Ovis aries (sheep). RNAcentral's name for it is "miRNA 31-f". The record is from RNAcentral. Lineage: Eukaryota; Metazoa; Chordata; Mammalia; Artiodactyla; Bovidae.
UUCUCCCCUUCCUCCCUGCCCAGG